CUGUGGGAACGAAUGGCUCAAGUUAAUGAAGCUAAUGAAAUAUCAAAAACCUACCAAAAAUAAAAAUGCCAUUUAUGUCUGCCUGUCACCACAUAGAAAGCUUUCCGAAAGACACAAUUCCUUGUUUCAAGAAGUUUUAUCGAUCAUCUGCA
Nilaparvata lugens (brown planthopper) is the source of this 152-nucleotide long non-coding RNA. RefSeq lists it as uncharacterized. The transcript has 3 exons. The record is from RefSeq and is a predicted model, not a curated record. Lineage: Eukaryota; Metazoa; Arthropoda; Insecta; Hemiptera; Delphacidae.